UGUUUGGAAGAGGGAAGCAUGGUAUUGUCCUCGCACCUCUGCACAUUUCAUUGGAGUCCUGAUUGAGAAACUCUGUUUCCUGUUCAAUCUUGUGUCGUGAUGGGGGUGCAGAGAGGUCGGAUAAAGGAGGGAGAGGAGGAAUAAAGUAUUUGAAGGGGACCACAGAGGGAGUCAGUUCUCCAGCCCAGAGUCCAGCGAACAGAGCGGCUUUGUGUCCUCCAGCUCAAGGAAUUCUCCUUCACUUUAUGAUCAACACGCUCUUGAUCCUCACAAUCACAUGCUGCUUUAAAUAUCUGAGGAGC
Sinocyclocheilus rhinocerous is the source of this 302-nucleotide long non-coding RNA. RefSeq lists it as uncharacterized. The transcript has 3 exons. Lineage: Eukaryota; Metazoa; Chordata; Actinopteri; Cypriniformes; Cyprinidae. The record is from RefSeq and is a predicted model, not a curated record.